Molecule: long non-coding RNA, 499 nt
Organism: Rhinopithecus roxellana (golden snub-nosed monkey)
Lineage: Eukaryota; Metazoa; Chordata; Mammalia; Primates; Cercopithecidae
Exons: 5
Source: RefSeq, a predicted model, not a curated record
GCUGCUCUCCACUCUCCAGUAUGGGUGAAAGAGUGAAACUCCAUCUCAAUCAAUCAAUCAAUAAACAGAAAGAAAAAUAAGGAGAGAUUAAUAGAAAUGUUCCUUUAAAAAACAUUGAUCUAACCAAUCAUCCCAUACUGGAAACUCAGGAUGACACUACACACCUAUCGGAAUGCUAAAAUAAAAUGUUAAACGAAGAACACCACCAAAUGCUGGCAAAGAUGUGGGGACAGGAUCACUCGUAUAUUGCUGGCCGGAAGCUAGAAUGCUUAGAAAAGACUGAUGGAAAGAUUGUCUUCUUCAAGUUUACACCCCAAUGCUAUUCGCUCACAAAUUAGAUAUUUCUGCAUACCAGAUAACUUCCCAAAGAAGAAUAAAAUGCAGACUGUGGCAUAUUUACAAGUGGACAAAUCUCUAAACUGGGUCAGUACAUCUUGGCUUGUUUUCAAACUCAAGAGACAUGAAGUUUGACUUCCUAUUGAAAAAUCAUGGCUUCAGC